GCGCUUGCUUUGGCAGCACAUACACUACAAUUGGAACAAUAUAGAGAAGAUUAGCAUGGCCCCUGGGCAAGGGUGACAUACAAAUUCGUGAAGCAUUCCAUAUUUUU
Molecule: small nuclear RNA, 107 nt
Organism: Chlorocebus sabaeus (green monkey)
Lineage: Eukaryota; Metazoa; Chordata; Mammalia; Primates; Cercopithecidae
Source: Ensembl